GAUGAACGCUAGCGGCAGGCUUAACACAUGCAAGUCGAGGGGCAGCGCGAGGUAGCAAUACUUUGGCGGCGACCGGCGAAAGGGUGAGUAACGCGUGAGCAACAUGCCCGUUGCAGGGGGAUAGUCGAUGGAAACGUCGCGUAAUACCCCGUAACAUCAGUUAUCGCAUGGUGAUUGAUUGAAAGAUUUAUUGGCGACGGAUUGGCUCGCGUACCAUUAGCUAGUUGGUGGGGUAACGGCCCACCAAGGCGACGAUGGUUAGGGGUUCUGAGAGGAAGGUCCCCCACAUUGGAACUGAGACACGGUCCAGACUCC
Molecule: ribosomal RNA, 315 nt
Filed under: uncultured Bacteroidales bacterium
Lineage: Bacteria; Pseudomonadati; Bacteroidota; Bacteroidia; Bacteroidales
Description: bacterial SSU rRNA
Rfam family: Bacterial small subunit ribosomal RNA
Source: RNAcentral